GGGAUUGCCCCAGUAACGGCGAGUGAAGCGGCAACAGCUCAAAUUUGAAAUCUGGCUCUCGGGCCCGAGUUGUAAUUUGUAGAGGAUGCUUUUGGUGAGGUGCCUUCCGAGUUCCCUGGAACGGGACGCCAUAGAGGGUGAGAGCCCCGUCUGGUUGGACACCGAUCCUCUGUAAAGCUCCUUCGACGAGUCGAGUAGUUUGGGAAUGCUGCUCUAAAUGGGAGGUAUAUGUCUUCUAAAGCUAAAUACCGGCCAGAGACCGAUAGCGCACAAGUAGAGUGAUCGAAAGAUGAAAAGAACUUUGAAAAGAGAGUUAAACAGUACGUGAAAUUGUUGAAAGGGAAGCGCUUGUGACCAGACUUGGGCUUGGUUGAUCAUCCGGGGUUCUCCCCGGUGCACUCUUCCGGCUCAGGCCAGCAUCAGUUCGCCCUGGGGGAUAAAGGCUUCGGGAAUGUGGCUCUCUCCGGGGAGUGUUAUAGCCCGCUGCGUAAUACCCUGUGGCGGACUGAGGUUCGCGCAUUCGCAAGGAU
RNAcentral lists this ribosomal RNA (530 nucleotides) under Fusarium solani. RNAcentral's name for it is "partial 28S rRNA". It matches the Rfam family "Eukaryotic large subunit ribosomal RNA", at positions 71 to 624 of the family's 3401-position model. The record is from RNAcentral. Lineage: Eukaryota; Fungi; Ascomycota; Sordariomycetes; Hypocreales; Nectriaceae.